RNAcentral lists this ribosomal RNA (447 nucleotides) under uncultured bacterium. Its description in RNAcentral is "partial 16S ribosomal RNA". It matches the Rfam family "Bacterial small subunit ribosomal RNA", at positions 29 to 523 of the family's 1533-position model. The record is from RNAcentral.
AACGAUCGCUGGCGGCAGGCUUAACACAUGCAAGUCGAACGCCCCGCAAGGGGAGUGGCAGACGGGUGAGUAACGCGUGGGAACAUACCCUUUUCUACGGAAUAGCUCUUGGAAACUGGAAUUAAUACCGUAUACUCCCUACGGGGGAAAGAUUUAUCGGGGAAGGAUUGGCCCGCGUUGGAUUCGCUAGUUGGUGGGGUAAAGGCCUACCAAUGCGACGAUCCAUGGCUGGUCUAGGAGGAUCAUUAGCCACAUUGGGACUGAGACACGUCCCAAAAUCCUACGGGAGGCACCAGUGGGGAAUAUUGGGCAAUGGGCGGAAUCCUGAUCCAGCCAUGCCGCGUGAGUAAUGAAGGCCUUAGGGUUGUAAAGCUCUUUCACCGAUGAAGAUAAUGACGGUAGUCGGAGAAGAAGCCCCGGCUAACUUCGUGCCAGCAGCCGCCGUAA